Molecule: non-coding RNA, 3339 nt
Organism: Cicer arietinum (chickpea)
Lineage: Eukaryota; Viridiplantae; Streptophyta; Magnoliopsida; Fabales; Fabaceae
Source: RefSeq, a predicted model, not a curated record
AAUAUGGCUUUCAAUAUGAAUUUUUUAUUCAUAUGAAAUGAAAUUGAGAUAAUAUGUUUGGAAGACCCAAAAAUUAAUUAUGAGAUGAAAUCAUGACCCGAAAUAUGGCUUGAAAUAUGAAAUUUUUUAUUCAUAUGAAAUUGAGAUGGUAUUUUUGGAUGAUCCGAAAUUUAAUUAUGAUAGAUUAUUGAUCGUAAAUGUGGCAUUUGAUAUGAAUUUUUUAUUCAUAGAAAUGAAAUUGAAAAUUUGAUAUAGAUUGUGUUUCGAUGACUCGGAAUUUAAUUACGAGAUGAAUUCUUGACUCAAAAUAUGGCUUCCAAUAUGAAUUUUUUAUUCAUAUGAAAUGAAAUUGAGAUAAUAUGUUUGGAAGACCCGAAAUUUAAUUACAAAAUGAAUUCUUGACCUAAGAUGUGACUUGCAAUAUACAUUUUUUAUUUAUAUGAAAUUGAGAUGGUAUUUUUGGAUGACCCGGAAUUUAAUUAUGAGAUAGAUUCUUGACCGUAAAUGAUGUGGCAUUCGAUAUGAAUUUUUUAUUCAUAUGAAAUUGAGAUGGUAUUUUUGGAUGACCCGGAAUUUAAUUAUGAGAUAGAUUCUUGACCGUAAAUGAUGUGGCAUUCGAUAUGAAUUUUUUAUUCAUAUGAAAUGAAAUUGAGAUAGUAUGUUUGGAAUACUUGAAAUUUAAUUAUUCUUGACCCAAAAUGUGGCUUGCAAAAUGAAUUUUUUAUUCGUAUGAAAUAAAAUUGAGAAUUUGAGAUAGGAUGCCUGGAAGACCUGAAAUUUGAUUAUAUUGAUUUUUUUAUUCAUAUGAAAUUGAGAGCAUUUUUGGAUGUCCCAAAAUUUAAUAAUGAGAUAGAUUCUUGACCCUAAAAGUGACAUUCAAUAUGAAUUGCUAUUCAUAUGAAAUUGGGAUUGAAUGACAGUAUUGUGCCUCGAUGACCAUAGAUACAAAUUUGAUAUUUGAGUGUAUAUGAUCCUAAAUUCUUGAUAAAUUAGAAUGAAAAUAUUGUCCCUCAAUGACCUUGGGUGGUGUGAUGAAAUUGGGUGGUCUUGUUGAAGCGGCAUCUUGCAAUGCCUUGUUGACACAGGGAUCGGAAGGCAAAGAGACAUUCAAAAUAUCAUUAAACUGUUGGCAGAGAUGGAAGAAACAAAAAUACGAGCCCAGUGGUAUAACUUUUGGGAUUUUUACUAAUCACAUAUGCAAGGCUAGGAGGAUCGAUGAGGCGUUGGAGGUGUUUGAUAAAUUGGUGUUGAACCUGAUGUGGUUUUGUAUAAUACUUUGAUUGACAAUCUUAGUAAAGUUGGGAGGGUAGAAGAUGGUUUGAGUUUGCUGGCAGAGAUGAAAACGGAGAAGAAAAAUAGGCCAAACACUGUGUCAUAUAAUUGCUUGAUUGAUGAGUUCUGCAAAGCUGAAAGGAAAUGUUGUUACUUAUACUGUGUUGAUAUCUGCAUUCUGUGGUGUGAACAAUAUUGAUAAAAGCCAUGCAUAUAACUUGCUACUAUGUUCUCAUAAGUGGGUUCUGUAAGAAGAAGAAAUUGGUUUCUUACCUUGGCAAAGCUGGAGAUUUUGCAACUACUAGUAAGGUGAUGAAAAAGAUGAUAAAAGAGGGUCUUAAGCCAUCUGUUGUCACAUAUGAGGCAGUUAUACAUUCAUUCAUAUUUUUUUUAAAGAAGAAUGUUGAUGAGGCCAUGAAGUCACUCUGUUAGUAGUAGGCUUGUGCUAUAAGUUAAAUGCUUAGCUUUUAAUUGUCUAAGCUCCAAUUUUUCGUACUCUUUUGAGCUCAUUUUCAGACCACGUUAUUUUAGUAAUAUGUUGCGGAAUCACAAUACUUUACUUGGUUAUCAUAUUGAAUAAUUGUUUGAACUUUGAAGGGGUUGAUCAUGAACUUUCUAUUAGGAUACUAUGACACUUUUUUUCCUGUUGAUGAAAUAAUUGAACUAUCUAAGAAUCAGAGGACAAGAUAGUGUGCCAAUUGAGGAAGGCAGCACAAUGGAUUGUGUGACCCUAACAAUUAAAAAUUGAAAUUUGCACAGGCCACGUAGCGUGUGGAAGAAGGGAUAUGUGCAAGUUGUGAAGUCCUGAUAUUUGUUAUUGUUAAUAAUUUUUAUUAUAUAGGUGUUUUGCAAUUGGAACUGUGCUUUUCUGUGACAAUCAAUCUACAGUUGCAAAUUAUGUCACUUAAAUUUCAGAUGCAUAUUCAGUUUUUUCUCAAUGCUUUUUUGCUAGCUUUUGUAUUUUAUUUUAUUUUACCCUUGUGUGCUCAAUUGUCUCUUUGGUAUAGGUUCAUGGUGUAUUUUAUACCAGAUCAAAAGUUCCAGUAUUAAUGGUUACCGUGAAUACUGUCUUGGAAUUGAAUUGUGUUGAUUGGUUAAUCUUCCUUUCACUUCCUUUUACAUGUUUCCCUUUUCUUAUGUUAUUUUAUUUUCUUUCUAUUGCUUUUGGUGUGCUGAAAAUGUUUUCCUAUUGCUAUUCUUGAUUAUGUUGAGAGCAAAAUUGGAUUUGAUGAUGAUCAGUGUAUUGUUGUGAACUGGAGUUGAAGGAUGAAAGACUACUGAGACAAACUCAUCCAAGGAAUUGCUGAGUUAUCCGCAGAAUAAUAUAAGCAUUUCGGCUUCAUCAAACCAAACUGUCAACAAACUACAUAGUCUCCCUCUUGAAUUGUAAUUUCUGAGCAUGAAAUUGUGAACUGCUACCUACCUUUGGUUUGUGACUUUUAUUCAAUAUUUGUUGAAGGAAUGGAGAAAGCGUCUGUAGAGAAAUUUGAAAUAGUCAUUGAGGAUCAAGCUGAUUGAUUUAUUUAGGGAUUUGAUAUAUGAUUACUUGAUUUGCUUGGCAUUGUAAAGACAUCCACAACUGUCUCUUUUUGUUAUAAGUAUUUUAAGAUUCCCUUCAUUAAGUUGCUACGAUUCUUAUUGAAGAGGAAAAAAAUCACCACAACAGAAUAACGGUACCUGGUCGCAUGUGCAAGAGUCAAGUGGUCAUCAUAUUUUUUUUAGCUUUCUUACUUUCAUUUCUACGAGUCAAGUGAGAAAUUAUAUGCUUUGAUUGCUCAUUCAGGUUAGGACUAAAAUCUUUGGAUUCUCACUCCAUUUUCAACAUGUUCUCUGUUUUGUGUCUGCCUAAUCAAGUAUGCCUUAAAUUGUUUAGUACUUGGGUUGCACAUUAUACAAAAGGUUUUGUCUAUAGGCUUGAAUUGGGAUACAUAAGAUUUUGCCUUUAGGAGUGAAACUAUUUACUACUUGGGUUUGCACAUAUAUCAGUAUAAUACUAUAGUUCACUUUUCUGCUUUUCCAUGUGUCAUUUUUUACUGGACAAAUACUUAAAUACGUAUUCAAUUUCAU